UACGAAGGGGGCUAGCGUUGCUCGGAAUCACUGGGCGUAAAGGGCGCGUAGGCGGGCUCUUAAGCCAGGGGUGAAAGCCCAAGGCUCAACCUUGGAAUUGCCUUUGAUACUGAGGGCCUUGAGACCGGAAGAGGUCGGCGGAACUGCGAGUGUAGAGGUGAAAUUCGUAGAUAUUCGCAAGAACACCAGUGGCGAAGGCGGCCGACUGGUCCGGUUCUGACGCUGAGGCGCGAAAGCGUGGGGAGCAAACAGG
This 253-nucleotide ribosomal RNA is filed under the name uncultured bacterium. RNAcentral's name for it is "partial 16S ribosomal RNA". It matches the Rfam family "Bacterial small subunit ribosomal RNA", at positions 524 to 776 of the family's 1533-position model. The record is from RNAcentral.